GACGAACGCUGGCGGCGUGCUUAACACAUGCAAGUCGAACGGGAAGGCCCUGCUUUUGUGGGGUGCUCGAGUGGCGAACGGGUGAGUAACACGUGAGUAACCUGCUCUUGACUUUGGGAUAACUUCAGGAAACUGGGGCUAAUACCGGAUAGGAGCUCCUGCUGCAUGGUGGGGGUUGGAAAGUUUCGGCGGUUGGGGAUGGACUCGCGGCUUAUCAGCUUGUUGGUGGGGUAGUGGCUUACCAAGGCUUUGACGGGUAGCCGGCCUGAGAGGGUGACCGGCCACAUUGGGACUGAGAUACGGCCCAGACUCCUACGGGAGGCAGCAGUGGGGAAUAUUGCACAAUGGGCGGAAGCCUGAUGCAGCAACGCCGCGUGCGGGAUGACGGCCUUCGGGUUGUAAACCGCUUUCGCCUGUGACGAAGCGUGAGUGACGGUAAUGGGUAAAGAAGCACCGGCUAACUACGUG
Molecule: ribosomal RNA, 468 nt
Filed under: uncultured bacterium
Lineage: Bacteria
Description: partial 16S ribosomal RNA
Rfam family: Bacterial small subunit ribosomal RNA
Source: RNAcentral